UUAGAGUUUGAUCCUGGCUCAGGACGAACGCUGGCGGCGUGCCUAACACAUGCAAGUCGAGCGAAUGAAAUUCCUUCGGGAACGGAUUUAGCGGCGGACGGGUGAGUAACACGUGGGCAACCUGCCUCAUAGAGGGGAAUAGCCUUCCGAAAGGGAGAUUAAUACCGCAUAAGAUUGUAGUACCGCAUGGUACAGCAAUUAAAGGAGCAAUCCGCUAUGAGAUGGGCCCGCGGCGCAUUAGCUAGUUGGUGAGGUAACGGCUCACCAAGGCGACGAUGCGUAGCCGACCUGAGAGGGUGAUCGGCCACAUUGGGACUGAGACACGGCCCAGACUCCUACGGGAGGCAGCAGUGGGGAAUAUUGCACAAUGGGGGAAACCCUGAUGCAGCAACGCCGCGUGAGUGAUGACGGCCUUCGGGUUGUAAAGCUCUGUCUUCAGGGACGAUAAUGACGGUACCUGAGGAGGAAGCCACGGCUAACUACGUGCCAGCAGCCGCGGUAAUACGUAGGUGGCGAGCGUUGUCCGGAUUUACUGGGCGUAAAGGGAGCGUAGGCGGAUUUUUUAAGUGAGAUGUGAAAUACCCGGGCUUUACCUGAGUGCUGCAUUUCAAACUGGAAGUCUAGAGUGCAGGAGAGGAGAAGGGAAUUCCUAGUGGUAGCGGGGAAAUGCGUAAAGAUUAGGAAAAACACCAGGGGGGAAGGGGCUUCUCGGGACUGGAAUUGACGCUGAGGCUCAAAAGCGGGGGGAAGCAAACAAGGAUUAAAUAACCCUGG
This 774-nucleotide ribosomal RNA is filed under the name uncultured bacterium. RNAcentral's name for it is "bacterial SSU rRNA". It matches the Rfam family "Bacterial small subunit ribosomal RNA", at positions 1 to 790 of the family's 1533-position model. The record is from RNAcentral.